RNAcentral lists this ribosomal RNA (151 nucleotides) under uncultured bacterium. RNAcentral's name for it is "partial 16S ribosomal RNA". It matches the Rfam family "Bacterial small subunit ribosomal RNA", at positions 367 to 509 of the family's 1533-position model. The record is from RNAcentral.
GUCAAGUGGGGGCAACCCUGAACGAGCAAUGCCGCGUGAGCGAAGAAGGUCUUCGGAUUGUAAAGCUCUGUUGACCGGGGAAAAGGAAGGAAAGAGGAAAUGCUUUUCUUUGGAUGGUACCCGGCCAGAAAGUCACGGCUAACUACGUGCC